AUGCACGCUGGCGGCGUGCCUCAUACAUGCAAGUCGCACGAAACUUCUUUAUCACCGAGUGCUUGCACUCACCGAUAAAGAGUUGAGUGGCGAACGGGUGAGUAACACGUGGGCAACCUGCCCAAAAGAGGGGGAUAACACUUGGAAACAGGUGCUAAUACCGCAUAACCAUAGUUACCGCAUGGUAACUAUGUAAAAGGUGGCUAUACUACCGCUUUUGGAUGGGCCCGCGGCGCAUUAGCUAGUUGGUAGGGUAAAGGCUUACCAAGGCAAUGAUGCGUAGCCGAAUUGAGAGGUUGAUCGGCCACAUUGGGACUGAGACACGGCCCAAACUCCUACGGGAGGCAGCAGUAGGGAAUCUUCCACAAUGGGCGAAAGCCUGAUGGAGCAACGCCGCGUGGGUGAAGAAGGUCUUCGGAUCGUAAAACCCUGUUGUUAGAGAAGAAAGUGCGUGAGAGUAACUGUUCACGUUUCGACGGUAUCUAACCAGAAAGCCACGGCUAACUACGUG
This 511-nucleotide ribosomal RNA is filed under the name uncultured bacterium. Its description in RNAcentral is "partial 16S ribosomal RNA". It matches the Rfam family "Bacterial small subunit ribosomal RNA", at positions 29 to 507 of the family's 1533-position model. The record is from RNAcentral.